This 465-nucleotide ribosomal RNA is filed under the name uncultured bacterium. RNAcentral describes it as "partial 16S ribosomal RNA". It matches the Rfam family "Bacterial small subunit ribosomal RNA", at positions 339 to 795 of the family's 1533-position model. The record is from RNAcentral.
CUACGGGGGGCAGCAGUGAGGAAUUUUGCGCAAUGGGGGAAACCCUGACGCAGCAACGCCGCGUGAGUGAUGAAGGCCUUCGGGUCGUAAAACUCUGUCAAGUGGGAAGAACCUAUGUAAGGUUAAUACCCUUAUGUACUGACGGUACCACUGAAGGAAGCACCGGCUAACUCCGUGCCAGCAGCCGCGGUAAUACGGAGGGUGCAAGCGUUAUUCGGAAUUAUUGGGCGUAAGGGGCGCGCAGGCGGUUGUGUAAGUCAGAUGUGAAAGCCCGGGGCUUAACCUCGGAAGUGCAUUUGAUACUGCAAGACUUGAGUAUGGGAGGGGGAAGUGGAAUUCCUGGUGUAGAGGUGAAAUUCGUAGAUAUCAGGAGGAACACCAGUGGCGAAGGCGACUUCCUGGACCAAUACUGACGCUGAGGCGCGAAGGCGUGGGGAGCAAACAGGAUUAGAUACCCGGGUAGUC